This 702-nucleotide long non-coding RNA is filed under the name Homo sapiens (human). RNAcentral's name for it is "HSALNT0310318". The record is from RNAcentral. Lineage: Eukaryota; Metazoa; Chordata; Mammalia; Primates; Hominidae.
AGACAUGUGACUGUGGCAUCACAGGCCCCCGGGAUUUAGAAUUCUUCUGAAAGGCAUCCUGUGCACUCCCGAGCACCAGCUUGAACAGAUGAAAAGGCUGAGCUGGAGGGGCUGGGACACAGUCCACCUUGACGACAGCUGCUCCUGGCUGUGCGGGGGGCCCCAGGAAAGGCCGUUCCCCCACUAGGACCGCCAGGCCCUACAGAGGCUCAAACUCCUUUGCUGUUUGGAAUCUUCCCUCCCCAGCCCCCAAGCCUCAUCAGAGGCUGCCUUUUCUGUUCACUGACCACAGCUGCUUUGACUCCAUUAGCCUCGAGCUCCUGGAAGAAAAGAAAGAACCUUGUUUUCCCUGGGCUCAAUGCCAAGAGACCAUGGGCAGUUGCUCAAGAUUCACUUGUGAAACUCCGGAUCUCAGGAGGAGGGAAGCUUGGGACAAAUACCGAGCCUCCCACCCCCACUCCAACUCUGUUACUGAGCACUUUACGGAAGGAGCAGGAGCCUGGGGUCUUGCUAUUGUGCUCCAGCCUGGCCUUGAACUCCUGGUCUCAAGGGAUGCUUCCACCCCAGCUUGCUGAGUAUCUGGGACUGCAGGCACGUGUCACUGUGCCCAGCUGUUUUUUUUUUUCUUCUUUGGUAGAAAAAGUGCCAUUAGCUGUAAUCCUACAUUAAAGAGAAUACUUUGACAAUAGAUUCGUCUCUUCC